UACGAAGGGUGCAAGCGUUACUCGGAAUUACUGGGCGUAAAGAGCUCGUAGGCGGUGUGUCACGUCGGCCGUGAAAACCUGCAGCUUAACUGUGGGCGUGCGGUCGAUACGGGCAUCACUGGAGUUCGGCAGGGGAGACUGGAAUUCCUGGUGUAGCGGUGAAAUGCGCAGAUAUCAGGAGGAACACCGGUGGCGAAGGCGGGUCUCUGGGCCGAUACUGACGCUGAGGAGCGAAAGCGUGGGGAGCAAACAGG
RNAcentral lists this ribosomal RNA (254 nucleotides) under uncultured bacterium. RNAcentral describes it as "partial 16S ribosomal RNA". It matches the Rfam family "Bacterial small subunit ribosomal RNA", at positions 524 to 776 of the family's 1533-position model. The record is from RNAcentral.